ACGGCUCAGUAACACGUAGCUAAUCUAACCUUAGGUCAAGGAUAACCUCGGGAAACUGAGGAUAAUACUUGAUAGGAAAUGUUUUCUGGAAUGUGAUAUUUCUGAAACUUGAGCCUAAGGAUGAGGCUGCGGCUGAUUAGGUAGUUGUUGGUGUAACGGACUAACAAGCCGAUGAUCAGUAAGGGUUCUUAGCGGAAGAGCCCUGAGAAGGAAUCUGAGACACUAUUCCUAGCUCUACGGGGUGCAGCAGUUAAGGAAAUUUUACAAUGCCCGCAAGGGUGAUCGAGUGAUCCAGAGUGUUUUCUUUUAGAAAACUUUUGUCUGUUGCAAAAAGACAGACGAAUAAGGACUGGGCAAGACCGGUGCCAGCCGCCGCGGUAAUCCCGGCGGUCCAAGUCGCAUCCACAUUUAUUGGGUCUAAAACAUCCGUAGCUUGUUUUGUAAGUCUCUUGUGAAAUCUGAUAUCUCAAAUAUCAGGCGUGCAAGAGAUACUGCAAUGCUAGAGACUGGAAGGCGCAAAGAGUAUGAUUGAGGUAGCGGUAAAAUGUGUUAAUCUUGAUCAGACUGACAAUGGCGAAGGCACUUUGCGAGUACAGAUCUGACAGUGAGGGAUGAAGGCUAGGGGCGCAAAAGGGAUUAGAUACCCCUGUAGUCCUAGCAGUAAACACUGCUCACUAAACAUUAGUACCUCCUCGAGAGGUAUUGGUGCUGCAGCGAAAGCGAAGAGUGAGCUACCUGGGAAGUAUAGUCGCAAGGCCGAAACUUAAAGGAAUUGGCGGGGGAGCAC
This 787-nucleotide ribosomal RNA is filed under the name uncultured archaeon. Its description in RNAcentral is "bacterial SSU rRNA". It matches the Rfam family "Archaeal small subunit ribosomal RNA", at positions 85 to 879 of the family's 1478-position model. The record is from RNAcentral.